Molecule: ribosomal RNA, 252 nt
Filed under: uncultured bacterium
Lineage: Bacteria
Description: partial 16S ribosomal RNA
Rfam family: Bacterial small subunit ribosomal RNA
Source: RNAcentral
UACGUAGGGAGCGAGCGUUAUCCGGAUUUAUUGGGUGUAAAGGGUGCGUAGGCGGUUUAUCAGGUCUAAGGUUUAAGCCCGGAGCUUAACUCCGGUUCGCCUUAGAAACCGAUUUACUUGAGUAUGGUAGAGGCAAGUGGAAUUUCUAGUGUAGCGGUAAAAUGCGUAGAUAUUAGAAGGAACACCAGUGGCGAAGGCGACUUGCUGGGCCAUUACUGACGCUGAGGCACGAAAGCGUGGGGAGCAAACAGG